RNAcentral lists this transfer RNA (71 nucleotides) under Marmota monax (woodchuck). Its description in RNAcentral is "tRNA.Ala". It matches the Rfam family "tRNA". Rfam says of the family: Transfer RNA (tRNA) molecules are approximately 80 nucleotides in length. Their secondary structure includes four short double-helical elements and three loops (D, anti-codon, and T loops). The record is from RNAcentral. Lineage: Eukaryota; Metazoa; Chordata; Mammalia; Rodentia; Sciuridae.
GGGGUUGUGGCUCAGUGGUAGAGUGCUUGUGUAGCACAUAUGGGGCCCUGGGUUCAAUCCUCAGCACCACA